This is a long non-coding RNA of Cygnus olor (mute swan), 402 nucleotides long. RefSeq lists it as uncharacterized. The transcript has 3 exons. The record is from RefSeq and is a predicted model, not a curated record. NCBI's taxonomy places the organism in Eukaryota, Metazoa, Chordata, Aves, Anseriformes, Anatidae.
CUCAUGAUCUGCUUGUUGUGAGGAGGUGCAGGAUGGUGAUGUUAUCUGAAUGUUGCUUGAAAAGCUGUAAAGGUCUGGUGAACAACUGUAGGGCAACCAGCUUCUGGGGGCUGCAGUUCUUCCUCCACAGGCUCAGCAGAAAGCCAGAGGUAGCUGAAGGCAGGUUCAGCUCCUGGUCCUGAGGUCGUUGGCUCUCUCCUGGGCUGGAUGAAGGUGAGCUGACUCAGAUAUUCCUCUGGAUUCUGGCCAUGUGCUGGGGAGGUGACUGCUUCAGUGUUCUCCCCACCCCAUGCUGAAGAGGAUGAAGUCAGUUCAAGUUCACCAUGAAACCUGUUCCUCUGUUUUCAUCAAGUACUUCUGAAGAGCGCAUGCAGUCCUUGUGAUGAGUACAGUGAAAUGGCA